RNAcentral lists this ribosomal RNA (662 nucleotides) under Goodia medicaginea. Its description in RNAcentral is "eukaryotic LSU rRNA". Lineage: Eukaryota; Viridiplantae; Streptophyta; Magnoliopsida; Fabales; Fabaceae. The record is from RNAcentral.
AUUGUCGAUGCCUCACAAGCAGAGUGACCUGUGAAUUCGUUAUUCUACUAGGUGUUGGUCUGGGUGUCUAACACACAAGCCUCACUUACGUUGGGAGGAGGUUCCAUGUGUAUUCGUGAACGCCUCCCGGCUUUAACACAAACCCCGGCGCUGAAUGCGUCAAGGAACUCAAAUUUGUUUAGUGCGUUCCCGUAUACCCGGAGACGGUGCUUAUGCGGAAGCGUUGCGACACAUGAAAACUGAAACAACUCUCGGCAACGGAUAUCUCGGCUCUUGCAUCGAUGAAGAACGUAGCGAAAUGCGAUACUUGGUGUGAAUUGCAGAAUCCCGUGAACCAUCGAGUCUUUGAACGCAAGUUGCGCCUGAAGCCAUUAGGCCGAGGGCACGCCUGCCUGGGUGUCACACAUCGUUACCCUCUCUCCAGUGCCUUUACCUGGGCAUUGAGUCGGGUGAAUGUUGGCUUCCCAUGAGCCGUUUGUCUCGUGGUUAGUUAAAAUCUGAGUCCAUGGUGGAGGGUGCCAUGAUAACUGGUGGUUGAGUAAACCUCGAGACUACUCGUGCGUGYCCCUCUACUAAUGUGGAUUUUGUUGCCAAUGCGUGUCUUGUUACAGACACUCAUAACGAGACCUCAGGUCAGGCGGGAUUACCCGCUGAGUUUAAGC